Long non-coding RNA from Apis mellifera (honey bee), 2400 nucleotides. RefSeq lists it as uncharacterized. Lineage: Eukaryota; Metazoa; Arthropoda; Insecta; Hymenoptera; Apidae. The transcript has 2 exons. The record is from RefSeq and is a predicted model, not a curated record.
AAAUAAAAAAAGAAGGAAAGAAAAGAUUUCUCAUCGAAUAUCUUGAAAUAGAAAUCUUGAAAUAGAAUUACAAUUUCUUCUUUGAUACGAAUACCAUUUUCCAAAAUUUAUGAAUUUAUCGUUUCUCAAUAUUUCCAUUCGAAAACCUACUCCAUGAAAAAUUAUUCUUUAUUUUAAUAUAAACAUAACUCGACAAAAAACGUUAGCCAUUUAAUAAUAUCUAGGAUGAAAAAACCUUCGAUACGAUCUUUCAACUCUCAACUCUUCCACAAACUCUCCAUACUCUCCAUUUUGAUCGUACAAUAAACGAAGGCAAACGAAGCGGCAAUAAACCGCAAUAAGAAGGGGAAAAUCUGGCCAGGAGUGAACGGAGUCAAGAUUUCUCUGCUUUUGUCAGGGCUUGCCCCCCUCCCCCGCAUUUGGUUGGGCCAUAGAUAUUUCACUCGCCGCUCGAUUUUUCGUAUAUCAUCCCUCCAGCAACACAUGGCGCCAUAUCCAGAGAAGGGAAUCGCUCGAGAGUGUCGAGGAGGAGGAGGAAGAGAGGGGGAUGCGUUCCAAAAGCGAAGGAGCAAUCGCGUGCGAGGAUGCUGCCUUAAUUUAUCACCCCGUUCCCCGAUGUGGCCCACCACGCGUCUCUUUUCGAGACAUGUCUCCACGAGACAGAGAGAGAGAGACACAUACACACCUUCCACAUCCCUCUUCCCAUCCAUCCCCCGAAUCCCCGAGAAUGCCUCUUAAUCAGCGCUGAUAUAGCUGUCGUCUCUGCUCCAGGUAAACACCGUUCCUCCAUUGUACACCGGCUCAGACGUGCCCUUCCGGGGAAGCUCCGUAGAUGUCGCUCGAGCAGUCGAGGACAAUAACGCGGACAGAUAGACGGUGGUGACGUCCCCCAGGAAUGCGAUUGAACUGCUGAUCAAGCGUUUCGAUCCAGAAUUAACUUUGGAAAGAUUGGAUUCUUUUCGAAUUGAAGGAAGGAAAAGAUUUAACUUUCGAAUUAAUGGAUCAGUGAGAGAAAAUUUCGAGUGAAAACAAAAGUGAUACUAGUAACAGCGAUGAAUAAAUGGCGAAAAUGUUAAAAUCGAUGGAAUGGAUACGAGUGUUGAGACUUGAGAGAAAUGUCGCGGGCGCGCAGUGUGCGCUACAAUUCAUCAGGGCACGGUGCAUUAGCAUAUAUUUCACCUACGGGCUAUGACGGUCCGCUGCGGCACCCGUGCUAACUCGACUUUGUCGUCCGCCGGCCAGAAGUUACGCUGAUAACUUUCGGCCAACGGGUAACGAGUUGAACUGGAAACCUCGAAAAAGGCAGGCAAGUGGCUUCGUUAUCUACCAAACACACUCGCUCCCCGACAGAUUUUCUCCUCUCUCUCGCUGAGAAUGAUUUAAUUUCCAUCGUCUAAAUUAUUAUUAUUAUUAUUAUUAUUACUAUUAUUCGAAUCAUCGAAUACGUUCGUUUGAUCACGUUGUUCGAACUUUGUCCUCUCUAACCUGUUUAACCUGCAUCUCGAUAUCUAAUUUAGUUGUUUAUAACAAGUUUCCAACUUGCAGGUGGAGAAAGAGCGAAUGUUCCUCGUCGGAAAUUUUAAGUUCGAACGGAAAAGUUAGAUUAAAUUACUUAAUCGGAAUAAGCAGAUCAUUCGCCUGUUCUUCGAUCCUCGACAUAUACUUCGUUCUUCCUUUUUCGCGCCUAUUUCACCCCGAAAUGAAAGUAUUCUGUAUAGAGUUGAGAUAAUUGAAAGACUCGAAUUGUUCCACACGAUAAUUUCUUUCAAUUUUCUAACCUCGAUCUUUCUCGUCAUAAUCUCCACUCAUUGAUCCAUAAAAUAUUCUUUCUAUAACUUUUCUUUCUUCCCAUAGAUCCUCUCAUAAUUAGAAGCGGGCUCAAUUUUUAAGACGAUUUUUAAUUGGAGGAUCCAAUAAUACCAUUCGAACGAAUUGAAGAUAAACACAGCCGUUGUUCCGGUUGUUCCCGUCGGAAGGGCGUUUUCCUAGGGCGCAGCCUGCCGCUAAUUGCUCAACCACCUGCCGUUAUUUAAAUUUACUCACGGAUCCCGUUUCGCCUCGCACGGACGCGUAAUUUAAGAAUUUGUUACACGUUCGCAUAACUGGAUGCAAUGUCUUUCCCUCGCCUUCGAAGACGAAACGUCUUUCCCUUCCUUUUUUCUUCCUUUUCUUCACGAUCACUUCUCUCGUUCGUUUGCACCAAUUUCUCGCGAGGAUACAAAAAAUUUCAAUCGUUUGCCAAUUUUUUUUACCUUUUCGUCCAAGUGGUUUCGUUGCGUAGAUGGUUUUUUUUUGAUCAGAUCCGAAGGAGAAAUUUUAAUUGUAUAUUUGGAAUUGGACUUUAAUGUUAUUUACUUGUAUAUAUUGUACAUAUAAAUUGGUUUUCCUUUUUUUUUUUUU